UGGAUCAUCUACCUUCUAGUGGGGAAUAACCCAGGGAAACCGGGGUUAAUACCGCAUAAGCUCGAGAGAGGAAAGCAGCAAUGCGCUGGAAGAGGAGUCCGCGGCCGAUUAGCUAGUUGGCAGGGUAAAAGCCUACCAAGGCAUCGAUCGGUAGCCGGCCUGAGAGGGCACACGGCCACACUGGCACUGAAACACGGGCCAGACUCCUACGGGAGGCAG
RNAcentral lists this ribosomal RNA (219 nucleotides) under uncultured bacterium. RNAcentral's name for it is "partial 16S ribosomal RNA". It matches the Rfam family "Bacterial small subunit ribosomal RNA", at positions 118 to 351 of the family's 1533-position model. The record is from RNAcentral.